GUGUUUGAAAAAAGCAGUACUACUCGUCCUCCAGUAACUCCCAGCACAUCUGAUGAUGAUGACGCUGCGGAAGCAGGUCCAUCAAAAGAAGUCUGCAGCAGCAGAAGUGGGACUUCUGUAAGACAUCACCACAAAAAACCUGUGGCAGCAAAGAAAGCAAGGUCUGAUGUCCAGGGCCAACCACAGCAGGCUACACCGCCACGAAGAUUAUCGACAGUAUGUUCGGUCCCCCCACUCCAAAUUUUGGACACACCUCCAAGACGUCAUCCACACUCCCCUCAUCUUGAUUCUUCUAGUCCUGGUAACAGCAUCCCUCCGCAACAACAGCAACACAGUGACAUGGAGGAGACAAUCAUUUUAGAAAUGCAGCCAUUAAGCCAAGGAAUCAGCUCCCCAGCACCUGUGAAUACACCACCACAGCAAAGCACACCACCACAACACAGCCCAACAACACCAGUAACACAAGGCCCUGAUCAGGUGUUUUGGACCAUUUGGGCUAGACAGCAGGCCACUAAUGAAGAUUGCCUGCGUAGGCAGACACAAAUGUUUGCAAGCCUACCAUGUCACCUCAGAAGAAUAACCAGAAAUAUGAGUAGACAAAAUAAACAAACAACCAAAAUUGGCAAUACCAUCGAACUCAUGCGUACAGACAUUACACAGGUCAUGGGCAACUUACAGCGCAUAAUGGAAGAACAGCACAGACUACAGCAAAGUUAUAUGAACAUUUUUCAAAACAAAAGAUUCAUGAAAGUUUAUUCAAUUGUAGACAAUCAAAAUGCUGCUACACGUGAACUCAAUGCCACCCUCACUAACCUGAAUGAAACACUCAGAUCCAUGCACCAACAGCAAACAAGCAGCAGUUCUGGUACGACUACUCCAAAUAUCACGCCAGUCUCAUCACCACGAAGACGCUCCACCAGUGCACGACAACAUGACAGUGCCAAAGGCAAAGGGCAGGACAAGCAGGCACCCAAAAAAAAUUAACACAAAACAAACAAAUUUUACAUUUCUGAGAAGUAAUUCAAAAUAGUAAGCGUAUGUUUGGCAAAAUAUAUAUAACACUUAGCUCCUUGACAAUUUAUACAACAUCAUUAAUUAUAAGUGGUACAAACAACAGCAUAAAAUUUGUACGCACAUUUAUUCUUUACCAUCUUUGUUUUCUUUUGGAGGAGGGAAAUGUUGUUGGAGCUGCACAUACAUGUUAGCAGGAAGUAACCAGACCACUUGAUUUUUUUUCUAAUCAUUACUAUUUCUAGAUUCCAAUCAUUCUCCUAUCCUGCACACACAAUCAUUGCCAGGCAGCCACAUACAUGUUAGUAGGAAGUAACCAGACCACUUGAUUUUUUUCCAAUCAUUACUCUAUCUAGAUUCCAAUCUCCUAUCCUGCAGCCAAUCCACAUUACAAUGUGAUUGCUAACUAUUUUACCUUUCUUCUCUAUACAACAUUACAAG
Molecule: long non-coding RNA, 1452 nt
Organism: Pseudophryne corroboree (corroboree frog)
Lineage: Eukaryota; Metazoa; Chordata; Amphibia; Anura; Myobatrachidae
Exons: 3
Source: RefSeq, a predicted model, not a curated record